CACGUAUUUAGCCGGUGCUUCUUGGUCAGGUACCGUCAUUUUCUUCCCUGCUGAUAGAGCUUUACAUACCGAGGUACUUCUUCACUCACGCGGCGUUGCUGCAUCAGGGUUCCCCCCAUUGUGCAAUAUUCCCCACUGCUGCCUCCCGUAGGAGUUUGGGCCGUGUCUCAGCCCCAAUGUGGCCGUUCGCUCUCUCAAGCCGGCUACUGAUCGUUGCUUUGGUGGCCGUUACCCCCGCAACUGGCUAAUCAGACGCGGGCCCACCCUGUACCGCCGCAGCUUUUCCUGCCGGGCCAUGCGGCCCCGCAGGCUUAUGCGGUAUUAGCAGCCGUUUCCGGCUGUUGUCCCCCUGUACAGGGCAGGUUACCCACGCGUUACUCACCCGUCCGCCACUAAGUCCGUGCCGUCUUCCCUCCGAAGAGUUCCGUCGGCACGGCUUCGUUCGACUUGCAUGUGUUAGGCACGCCGCCAGCGUUCAUCCUGAGCCAGGAUCAAACUCU
This 500-nucleotide ribosomal RNA is filed under the name uncultured Lachnospiraceae bacterium. RNAcentral describes it as "partial 16S ribosomal RNA". Lineage: Bacteria; Bacillati; Bacillota; Clostridia; Lachnospirales; Lachnospiraceae. The record is from RNAcentral.